GGAGAGGUGUCAGAGCGGCCGAAUGAGGCGGUCUCGAAAACCGUUAGGCGUCAUGUGCGCCUCGAGGGUUCAAAUCCCUCCCUCUCCGCCA
Molecule: transfer RNA, 91 nt
Filed under: Bacillota bacterium
Lineage: Bacteria; Bacillati; Bacillota
Also listed under: 1 other name
Description: Firmicutes bacterium (anaerobic digester metagenome) tRNA-Ser
Rfam family: tRNA
About the family: Transfer RNA (tRNA) molecules are approximately 80 nucleotides in length.
Source: RNAcentral